ACCUAGCCCUGAUGGAAACGGCAUCCUUUUUCUUGAAAUUCUGACGAAGGAAGAAUAACAAGAAAAAGAUAUAGUGGACAGCGGGAAAUAGC
This 92-nucleotide small RNA is filed under the name Flavobacterium xinjiangense. RNAcentral's name for it is "Flavo-1 RNA". It matches the Rfam family "Flavo-1 RNA". Lineage: Bacteria; Pseudomonadati; Bacteroidota; Flavobacteriia; Flavobacteriales; Flavobacteriaceae. The record is from RNAcentral.